This 250-nucleotide ribosomal RNA is filed under the name uncultured Capnodiales. RNAcentral describes it as "partial 18S ribosomal RNA". It matches the Rfam family "Eukaryotic small subunit ribosomal RNA", at positions 39 to 293 of the family's 1831-position model. The record is from RNAcentral. Lineage: Eukaryota; Fungi; Ascomycota; Dothideomycetes; Capnodiales.
AAAGAUUAAGCCAUGCAUGUCUAAGUAUAAGCAACUAUACGGUGAAACUGCGAAUGGCUCAUUAAAUCAGUUAUCGUUUAUUUGAUAGUACCUUACUACAUGGAUAACCGUGGUAAUUCUAGAGCUAAUACAUGCUAAAAACCUCGACUUCGGAAGGGGUGUAUUUAUUAGAUAAAAAACCAAUGCCCUUCGGGGCUCCUUGGUGAAUCAUAAUAACUUAACGAAUCGCAUGGCCUUGCGCCGGCGAUGG